RNAcentral lists this transfer RNA (70 nucleotides) under Dipodomys ordii (Ord's kangaroo rat). It matches the Rfam family "tRNA". From Rfam's summary of the family: Transfer RNA (tRNA) molecules are approximately 80 nucleotides in length. Their secondary structure includes four short double-helical elements and three loops (D, anti-codon, and T loops). Further hydrogen bonds mediate the characteristic L-shaped molecular structure. tRNAs have two regions of fundamental functional importance: the anti-codon, which is responsible for specific mRNA codon recognition, and the 3' end, to which the tRNAs corresponding amino acid is attached (by aminoacyl-tRNA synthetases). tRNAs cope with the degeneracy of the genetic code in two manners: having more than one tRNA (with a specific anti-codon) for a particular amino acid; and 'wobble' base-pairing, i.e. permitting non-standard base-pairing at the 3rd anti-codon position. Lineage: Eukaryota; Metazoa; Chordata; Mammalia; Rodentia; Heteromyidae. The record is from Rfam by way of RNAcentral.
GGGAAUGGAGCUUAGUGGUAGAGUGCCUGCCUAGCAUGCAUGAAACCCUGGGUUCGAUUCCUCAAUACCA